CCGUGGGUCUUAGGAACAAAGACUCUUGGUGCAAAUCCAAGCAGGAACU
This 49-nucleotide transfer RNA is filed under the name Chrosomus erythrogaster (southern redbelly dace). RNAcentral describes it as "partial tRNA-Leu". Lineage: Eukaryota; Metazoa; Chordata; Actinopteri; Cypriniformes; Leuciscidae. The record is from RNAcentral.